GCGAUCGUGGUGCAGCGGCAAGCACCUCUGGCUUCCACCCAGAAGACACGAGUAUCCUGCGGGCAGUGAUCGACGAGACUCGUUGAUCACUCCA
RNAcentral lists this transfer RNA (94 nucleotides) under Phormidium sp. FACHB-592. RNAcentral's name for it is "tRNA-Gly". Lineage: Bacteria; Bacillati; Cyanobacteriota; Cyanophyceae; Oscillatoriales; Oscillatoriaceae. The record is from RNAcentral. RNAcentral also lists the same sequence under 1 other name.